GACGAACGCUGGCGGCGUGCUUAACACAUGCAAGUCGAACGGAAAGGCCCUGCUUUUGUGGGGUGCUCGAGUGGCGAACGGGUGAGUAACACGUGAGUAACCUGCCCUUGACUUUGGGAUAACUUCAGGAAACUGGGGCUAAUACCGGAUAGGAGCUCCUGCUGCAUGGUGGGGGUUGGAAAGUUUCGGCGGUUGGGGAUGGACUCGCGGCUUAUCAGCUUGUUGGUGGGGUAGUGGCUUACCAAGGCUUUGACGGGUAGCCGGCCUGAGAGGGUGACCGGCCACAUUGGGACUGAGAUACGGCCCAGACUCCUACGGGGGGGAGCAGUGGGGAAUAUUGCAAAAUGGGCGGAAGCCUGAUGCAGCAACGCCGGGUGCGGGAUGAAGGCCUUCGGGUUGGAAACCGCUUUCGCCUGUGACGAAGCGUGAGUGACGGUAAUGGGUAAAGAAGCACCGGCUAACUACGUG
Molecule: ribosomal RNA, 468 nt
Filed under: uncultured bacterium
Lineage: Bacteria
Description: partial 16S ribosomal RNA
Rfam family: Bacterial small subunit ribosomal RNA
Source: RNAcentral